GCGGGGGUGCCCGAGCGGCCAAAGGGGCCGGACUUAGGAUCCGGUGGCUUAGUGCCUUCCUGGGUUCGAAUCCCAGCCCCCGCA
RNAcentral lists this transfer RNA (84 nucleotides) under Methanobacteriota archaeon. RNAcentral's name for it is "tRNA-Leu". It matches the Rfam family "tRNA". From Rfam's summary of the family: Transfer RNA (tRNA) molecules are approximately 80 nucleotides in length. Their secondary structure includes four short double-helical elements and three loops (D, anti-codon, and T loops). Lineage: Archaea; Methanobacteriati; Methanobacteriota. The record is from RNAcentral.